UUGAGUGGAUCAGGGAGGCUUUCUGUUUUAUUGUUAAGAAGUGGAGGACAAAGGUUUACCUUUCAAGACUCUCUUCAUCAUGAACAAUGCUCCUGUUCACCCACGAGAUUUGGCAGAAUUGGCUGAAGAAUUCCCACAGCUCUAAGUUGAGUUCCUCCCACCUAAUACAACUCCUGUACUGCAGCCUAAGGACCAGCAGGUUACAGCUAAUGUCAAGAAGUUAUACACCAAGGACCUGUUCCUGAAGUACUUCCAGAUGGUCUCAGAUAGAGAUUUUACACUUAAAGAGUUCUGGAAGGAACCUUGCAACAUCCUUUCCUAUGUGAGGUUAAUUGAGAAAUCCUGGGCCAAUAUCUCUCUAAGGACACUGAGAUCUUCCUAGAAGAAAGUGUGGCCUAAAAUUAUACAGGAGAGAGACUUUGAAGGCUGUGUAGAGGAUCCCGAGUCUUCAGUGGGCCCAGUGGUGCUGACAUUGUCCCUGUAGCAGAGUCCAUAGGCUUACAGGUAGACGGUGGUGAUGUUGAGGAACUGUCUACAGGUGAGCAUCCAUAGCUUCUGGCUGAGCAACAGAGAAUGGUAGAUAAGGAGAUUUCUGAAGAGGAGAGGGAGUAUCAACAAUCAGUGCAGCAAAGUUCUUCUGAAAUAAAGGAAAUCCUGAAAAAAUGGAGAGAGCUACAAACAUCUGCCCAGACAGAGAAAAAACUGUUACCUUUACUUGCUUAAUGACAGAGUCAUAUUCUACAGGACAGUGUUAAAGACAGAAAUAUGCAACCUUAGACCAGUUUUUAGUUCUGAAAAGGUUGAGACCUAGUGAGCCAGGAGCGGGUCAUAGUGCGCUUACAGACUCUCUCAAGGAGAGAAAGGACACCAGAGAGCCAGAGUGCUGAUGUUCUUCUGGAAGGGGGCUCCCCUUCCAAACGGUAACCACCUUCCAUUCCAUCCUCCCUUCCUGCAAGCCAAAGACGUCAACUCGAAUGGCACUGCAUAGCAGCCACAGUGGGGAAGAUUUCGUGUGUCCCUGUCCUGGGCCUCUUGGUCUAUUUUAGCAGAAAGAAGGCAGGACUGGUAAAAUCUGGAUUAUGUAUCUAAUUUGACCACAUACUUACUUGUGAACUGAGUAUUUUCUCAGGUCGCUGUGCUCUAGCAGAAGGGACUCUUCACCAAAGGGAAGCAAGUGCCGUUGUUAAAAACAAAACCAAAACCCGGAACAUCAGCUGGAUGAUUCAGUGAAGUACACAGCUGAGAUCAAAUUAGAACUGAUCUUUGGGUCUCAAAGCUUCAAAGGGACAAAAUCUCACAAG
Long non-coding RNA from Chinchilla lanigera (long-tailed chinchilla), 1301 nucleotides. RefSeq lists it as uncharacterized. The record is from RefSeq and is a predicted model, not a curated record. Lineage: Eukaryota; Metazoa; Chordata; Mammalia; Rodentia; Chinchillidae. The transcript is spliced from 3 exons.